CAAUAGCGUAUAUUAAAGUUGUUGCAGUUAAAAAGCUCGUAGUUGGAUUUCUGGAUGGAGCGACCGGUCGGGCAUUAAUUUGUCUGCACUGGAGUCGGUUCCGUCCAUCCUCUUGGAAAGUGCGUCGGGCAUUAAGUUGUCUGGCGUAUGAUCCAAGUCGUUUACUGUGAAAAAAUUAGAGUGUUUAAAGCAGGCCUUCGCCUUGAAUACAUUAGCAUGGAAUAAUAAGAUAGGACUUUGGUCUAUUUUGUUGGUUUGCAGACCGAAGUAAUGAUUAAUAGGGAUAGUUGGGGGUAUUUAUAUUCCGAUGUCAGAGGUGAAAUUCUUAGAUUUUCGGAAGAUAAACUUAUGCGAAAGCAUUUACCAAGGAUGUUUUCAUUAA
RNAcentral lists this ribosomal RNA (382 nucleotides) under uncultured eukaryote. RNAcentral describes it as "partial 18S ribosomal RNA". It matches the Rfam family "Eukaryotic small subunit ribosomal RNA", at positions 592 to 976 of the family's 1831-position model. The record is from RNAcentral.